This 341-nucleotide unclassified non-coding RNA is filed under the name soil metagenome. RNAcentral's name for it is "partial contains 5.8S ribosomal RNA, internal transcribed spacer 2, and large subunit ribosomal RNA". The stretch from base 1 to 120 matches the Rfam family "5.8S ribosomal RNA", at positions 35 to 154 of the family's 154-position model. The record is from RNAcentral.
GAUGAAGAACGCAGCGAAAUGCGAUAAGUAGUGUGAAUUGCAGAAUUCAGUGAAUCAUCGAAUCUUUGAACGCACAUUGCGCCCUUUGGUAUUCCAAAGGGCAUGCCUGUUCGAGCGUCAUUUGUACCCUCAAGCUUUGCUUGGUGUUGGGCGUCUUGUCUCUAGCUUUGCUGGAGACUCGCCUUAAAGUAAUUGGCAGCCGGCUUACUGGUUUCGGAGCGCAGCACAAGUCGCACUCUCUAUCAGCAAAGGUCUAGCAUCCAUUAAGCCUUUUUUUCAACUUUUGACCUCGGAUCAGGUAGGGAUACCCGCUGAACUUAAGCAUAUCAAUAAGCGGAGGA